AUCCUCUCAAGGCCAAUUGGCUAAGAUCAUGUGUAGUUUCUGUUCUUUAUAGCUUGACAGCUGUAAGUGCCUCAAGGGCACAUUUAUUCUGUCAUACUUAUUUUUGGAACCGAAGGGACAGUGGCGCAAUGCUCCUGUUCCGCGGGUGUCCCAAGCACUGCAGUACCGCUCGGUGACGCCCAGGUAUU
RNAcentral lists this small nuclear RNA (188 nucleotides) under Allomyces macrogynus ATCC 38327. RNAcentral describes it as "U2 spliceosomal RNA". It matches the Rfam family "U2 spliceosomal RNA". Rfam says of the family: U2 is a small nuclear RNA (snRNA) component of the spliceosome (involved in pre-mRNA splicing). Complementary binding between U2 snRNA (in an area lying towards the 5' end but 3' to hairpin I) and the branchpoint sequence (BPS) of the intron results the bulging out of an unpaired adenosine, on the BPS, which initiates a nucleophilic attack at the intronic 5' splice site, thus starting the first of two transesterification reactions that mediate splicing. The record is from Rfam by way of RNAcentral. Lineage: Eukaryota; Fungi; Blastocladiomycota; Blastocladiomycetes; Blastocladiales; Blastocladiaceae.